UAAAAUUUCAGUAACCUCUAACACACAGUUUAUUGUUUAUACUAAUAUACUGUAAAUCUGAUUGUUAAUGAAUAAGUUUACUUUGAAAAAAAUCAUCUGUUGAAGUGCAAGUCAUAAGAAAAUCAAGAGAGAUUGUUUGAAGAAGUGCCGCAAUGACUGAAGGAAUUGGGAUGCGAACCCUGGUAACCGAUAAGGGCCCCCCCCUGUUUACGACGAGAGUGUCUUUUUACUUGGUUUGCUUAUGACUAGCUAUCCUCCUUCGUAAAGAUGGCAGGUGUCGGAGAAGAGAUGUCAACGAGGGUAUUUGCAGUGGAGAUCGGUUCCCAUUACUUGGCAGCAAGCCAAAUGGAAGCGGUAAAGUUGGUAGUCCUGCCACGGGUAAAGGUUUCGUCAAACUGACGCAGUGGAACUGUUUGUACAGCUAAGAAACGUGGGUCUAGCGCACAGAAUGAAGUUUAACGAAGUAACGCAGAAUUUACACUCUUCCCUGAAGUACCACGAUUUCAAUUAAAUUGUCACAAUUGUAGUAUGAAUGUUCUGCAAGUCAGUGAUCAUUUCUCUGUAUUGAACGUCGAAUUGAACGCAGCUGACAUAACCUACUUCAACGGAUUAAUAUGAAGGGUAGCAAAAUGACAGAGCCCUAUCGUGCCUGAUAAAUAAAUCGGAAACUAAAUAUACCGCAGCAAGUUGUUUUAUUAUAAACCGUCGAUACUAAGUUUAUUUCCAUCAAAGACCUGGUUGCAGUGGUAAGGUGCCGAGGAGUCAAACAGGUGUAAUAGUGUUGGUCUAUCUACGGGGGGAUUUUAUCGAAGCACCGACGAGGAAAGUCCUAAUUGACUACCGCAAUGGGAGAAAUGUAAACUUUCAAAUUGGACCAACAUCAGCACUAGAGGGUAGGGACCGAUUUUGCUCAAUAGAAUUAUGCCGAAGGAGGUUUUAUACGUAAUGUCCCACCUUUUACUAAUUGGGGCAAAUACAAAACAAAACUGGCAUGUCUACAAAGAGGCUUUUUGCUGUUGGACCACAUGCACAUAUGCCGUGAGAUGUGGGCCUCCCUUUAUACAAAGAGCACCUCGAUCUAAAGUUCUUGAAAUCCACACGCAGACACAAAGGAGUACCUUGAAAUAGCACAGUUCAAUGUCUACGAGUCUACACAAACUUGUUAGUAAUAUGAUGGUAUCGGAAGGUUUAAUUUAGCCACAGAAGAAGUUGUAUGUGAUUUAGCCUAAAACUAGGUUGGAGAGCUAUAGAAAACACCAGUUCUUUUUAUAUUUCAUUUAUUAAGGGCUGCCCCCCCCCCCCCUUGAAUUAUUU
Molecule: long non-coding RNA, 1314 nt
Organism: Photinus pyralis (common eastern firefly)
Lineage: Eukaryota; Metazoa; Arthropoda; Insecta; Coleoptera; Lampyridae
Exons: 4
Source: RefSeq, a predicted model, not a curated record